Molecule: ribosomal RNA, 1275 nt
Filed under: metagenome
Description: bacterial LSU rRNA
Rfam family: Bacterial large subunit ribosomal RNA
Source: RNAcentral
AAAUCUGCCAAGGCGCUUGAGAGAACUCGGGUUAAGGAACUCUGCAAAUUGAUACCGUAACUUCGGAAGAAGGUAUGCCUUCGACGGUGUAGGGAUUUACUCCCGAAGCUGUUGAAGGUCGCGGGUAAUCGGUGGCUGCGACUGUUUAUCAAAAACACAGGACUCUGCGAACACGCAAGUGGAAGUAUAGGGUCUGACGCCUGCCCGGUGCCGGAAGGUUAAUUGAUGGGGUUAGCCGCAAGGCGAAGCUCUUGAUCGAAGCCCCGGUAAACGGCGGCCGUAACAAUAACGGUCCUAAGGUAGCGAAAUUCCUUGUCGGGUAAGUUCCGACCUGCACGAAUGGCGUAACGCUGGCCACACUGUCUCGACCCGAGACUCAGUGAAGUUGAAAUCGCUGUGAAGAUGCGGCGUUCCCGCGGCAAGACGGAAAGACCCCGUGAACCUUCACUACAGCUUUACACUGAACUUUGAACCUUUCUGUGUAGGAUAGGUGGGAGGCUAUGAAACUUGGGCGCUAGCUCGAGUGGAGCCAACCUUGAAAUACCACCCUGGGAUGUUUGAAGUUCUAACCUUGGUCCGUAAUCCGGAUUGGGGACAGUGUAUGGUGGGUAGUUUGACUGGGGCGGUCUCCUCCCAAAGAGUAACGGAGGAGUGCAAUGGUACGCUCAGCGCGGUCGGUCAUCGCGCUCUAGAGUGCAAAGGCAUAAGCGUGCUUAACUGUGAGACAGACACGUCGAACAGGUACGAAAGUAGGUCUUAGUGAUCCGGUGGUUCUGUAUGGAAGGGCCAUCGCUCAACGGAUAAAAGGUACUCCGGGGAUAACAGGCUUAUUCCUCCCAAGAGUCCACAUCGACGGAGGAGUUUGGCACCUCGAUGUCGGCUCAUCACAUCCUGGGGCUGUAGCAGGUCCCAAGGGUAUGGCUGUUCGCCAUUUAAAGUGGUACGCGAGCUGGGUUCAGAACGUCGUGAGACAGUUCGGUCCCUAUCUGCCGUGGGCGUUGGAAACUUGAGGGUGAGCUGUCCUUAGUACGAGAGGACCGGGAUGGACGUAUCUCUGGUGUUCCGGUUGUCACGCCAGUGGCACUGCCGGGUAGCUAUAUACGGACGGGAUAAGCGCUGAAAGCAUCUAAGCGCGAAGCCCCCCCCAAGAUUAGGUUUCCCUGGGAACUCGAUUCCCCUAAAGGGCCGUCGGAGACUACGACGUUGAUAGGCUGGGUGUGUAAGUGCAGCAAUGCAUUGAGCUAACCAGUACUAAUUGCCCGUGAGGCUUGACCU